RNAcentral lists this long non-coding RNA (999 nucleotides) under Setaria viridis. RNAcentral describes it as "long non-coding RNA (SVIR_LNC004223)". Lineage: Eukaryota; Viridiplantae; Streptophyta; Magnoliopsida; Poales; Poaceae. The record is from RNAcentral.
CCUCCGAUAGGUGUUGGAAGUUCUGAAACAGUGUCGAAAGUUCCGACAAAGAUAUUUUGAGUUCUGUUUUGCUUCAAGCUUUUCAGUUUUGCUUCCGGUUACUUCUCGAGGGUCCCGCUGUGUCUUUUGGUCAUAACCAUAGACACCUAGCCACCUUGUUGGCUCGUAGAUCUCUCUUCUUCUGCUUGCUUGGAUUUGGGGUUUGAAUUUGGGACAGAGGUCUAAGUUUUCGUAAGAAAUAUUUGAGGCUCCUAUUCACCCCCCUCUAGUCGCCUUUUCGGUCCUCCAAUUUUGUACCUUCAGAAUCAAAAUUUAUGUUUUUGUACUCUAAAUAGGGCUGUGCAUUCAGACAUAGAGAUAUAGCACUUGACACUUUGACAGCCUCUUUUCAAGGAACACUACGGUCGGCACACGGCUGAACUGCACGUUUCCAUUAAUUGAAUAUAGCAGAUGAGCUUGUAUCUCAGUGGUAAUGCAUUCAGUAGAGGUGCCACCCACCCAGGGCUUGAACUUCAGGUGUUGCACAAUAAAAAUCCCCCUCGCUAGCACAGCCAGUGUUCGGGGUUUUUUUCCACAGCCAGGAGCCGGUGGGAAGCAUCUCCCUAUCGCAUUUUUUUUAUUAAUUGAAUAUAAACAUCAAGAGGUUAAUUAUGCGCUCCUAACCGACCCAAGAGGUUAUGUGCAAAAAUGUCAUGAAAAAAAUGUAAGACAGAACCGGAAUAUAUUGAAUUAGUUCUAAAUAGCUGGACCAAGUCCACAGAUCCUCGUAAUGUUCACCAUAAAAAAAACAAUUCGAAGCCCAUCCCUCGUUUAGUUUGGCACAUACACUCCAUCCUCGACGAGUGGUAGUAUCUCAUUUCAUCUCCUCCCAUGGCGUCUGCUUUGAUCCUCUCUUUGCUUCUACUCCUAUGCCGCAGCUACGGUGGUAUUGCUCAUGCAGAUGCAGUUGCAGGUCAUAAGGGACGUAAAAGAAAUGAACUGGAUUUCCGUGAGGAGAAU